RNAcentral lists this transfer RNA (75 nucleotides) under Gemmobacter sp. Its description in RNAcentral is "tRNA-Thr". It matches the Rfam family "tRNA". From Rfam's summary of the family: Transfer RNA (tRNA) molecules are approximately 80 nucleotides in length. Their secondary structure includes four short double-helical elements and three loops (D, anti-codon, and T loops). Further hydrogen bonds mediate the characteristic L-shaped molecular structure. tRNAs have two regions of fundamental functional importance: the anti-codon, which is responsible for specific mRNA codon recognition, and the 3' end, to which the tRNAs corresponding amino acid is attached (by aminoacyl-tRNA synthetases). tRNAs cope with the degeneracy of the genetic code in two manners: having more than one tRNA (with a specific anti-codon) for a particular amino acid; and 'wobble' base-pairing, i.e. permitting non-standard base-pairing at the 3rd anti-codon position. Lineage: Bacteria; Pseudomonadati; Pseudomonadota; Alphaproteobacteria; Rhodobacterales; Paracoccaceae. The record is from RNAcentral. RNAcentral also lists the same sequence under 1 other name.
GCCGGCAUAGCUCAGCGGUAGAGCGUCUGCCUUGUAAGCAGGGGGUCGGGGGUUCAAGUCCCUCUGCCGGCACCA